UUUCAGCGGAUGCUUCCCCUGAUCUGGGCUCUACCACCAUCCACUGCCGUCUUACCACCCACCAUGGCCCUCCUGCACUCCGGUCGCGUCCUCUUCGGGAUGGCUGCUGCCUUUCACCCAGGUCUUGCAGCUGCAACCUCUGCCAGAGCCAGCUCCUGGUGGACCCAUGUUGAAAUGGAACCUCCAGAUCCCAUCCUGGGAGUGACCGAAGCCUUCAAGAGAGAUACCAACAGCAAGAAGAUGAACCUGAGAGUUGGUGCCUACAGGGAUGAUAACGGAAAGCCUUACAUGCUCCCCAAUGUCCGGAAGGCAGAGGUCCAGAUUGCUGGAAACAAUUUGGACAAAGAAUACCUACCCAUCGGGGGACUGGCUGAAUUUUGUAAGGCUUCUGCAGACCUGGCCCUGGGUGAGAACAACGAAGUGUUGAAAAGCUGCGGGUUUGUUACUGUGCAGACCGUUUCCGGGACUGGAGCCUUAAGGGUCAGAGCCAGUUUUCUGCAAAGAUUUUUUAAGUUCAGCCGAGAUGUCUUUCUGCCCAAACCAUCCUGGGGAACUACACACCCAUCUUCAGGGAUGCCGGCAUGCAGACUUCUCCGGAGCCUUACAAGACACAUCAAAAAUCCCAGAGCAGAGUGUUCUCCUUCUACACACUUGCGCUCAAAACCCCAUGGGCGUGGACCUGCGACCAGAACAGUGGAAGGAAAUGGCGUCAGUGGUGAAGAAAAAGAAUCUCUUCGCAUUCUUUAACAUGGCCUGCCAAGGCUUUGCCAGCGGUGAUGGCGAUUAGGACGCCUGAGCCGUGUGGCACUUCAUCGAGCAGGGCAUCAAUGUCUGCCUCUGCCAAUCGUAUGCCAAGAACAUGGGCCUGUACGGUGAGCGUGUGGGAGCCUUCACGGUGGUCUGCAAAGAUGUAGAAGAAGCCAAAAGGGUGGAGUCACAGCUGAAGAUCCUUAUCUGCCCUUUGUAUUCCAACCCGCCUCUCAAUGGAGCGAGGAUCGCUGCAACCAUCCUGACUUCUCCAGACUUGCAAAGGCAAUGGUUACAAGACGUGAAAGGCGUGGCUGACCGAAUCAUCAGCAUAAGUACCCAGAUGGUCUCCAACCUGAAGAAAGAGGGCUCGUCCCACAACUGGCAGCACAUCAUCGACCAGAUUGGCAUGUUCUGCUUCACCGACCUAAAGCCGCAGGUGAAGCGCCAAGGAGUUCUCAGUCUACAUGACAAAGGAUGGCCGAAUCUCCGUGGCAGCGGUCACCUCUGGCAAUGUGGGCUACCUCACCCAAGCCAUUCACCAGGUCACCAAGUAA
This is an RNA transcript of Rattus rattus (black rat), 1304 nucleotides long. It is a transcript of the gene named aspartate aminotransferase, mitochondrial-like, with no coding region annotated. The transcript has a single exon. Lineage: Eukaryota; Metazoa; Chordata; Mammalia; Rodentia; Muridae. The record is from RefSeq and is a predicted model, not a curated record.